GGGUUGUGAGGUUAAGCGACUAAGCGUACACGGUGGAUGCCCUGGCAGUCAGAGGCGAUGAAGGGCGUGCUAAUCUGCGAUAAGCGCCGGUAAGGUGAUAUGAACCGUUAUAACCGGCGAUACCCGAAUGGGGAAACCCAGUGUGAUUCGUCACACUAUCAUUACGUGAAUACAUAGCGUAAUGAAGCGAACCGGGGGAACUGAAACAUCUAAGUACCCCGAGGAAAAGAAAUCAACCGAGAUUCCCCCAGUAGCGGCGAGCGAACGGGGAGGAGCCCAGAGCCUGAAUCAGCAUGUGUGUUAGUGGAAGCGUCUGGAAAGGCGCGCGAUACAGGGUGACAGCCCCGUACACAAAAGCGCAUGUGUUGUGAGCUCGAUGAGUAGGGCGGGACACGUGGUAUCCUGUCUGAAUAUGGGGGGACCAUCCUCCAAGGCUAAAUACUCCUGACUGACCGAUAGUGAACCAGUACCGUGAGGGAAAGGCGAAAAGAACCCCGGCGAGGGGAGUGAAAAAGAACCUGAAACCGUGUACGUACAAGCAGUGGGAGCACCCUUUGGGGUGUGACUGCGUACCUUUUGUAUAAUGGGUCAGCGACUUAUAUUCUGUAGCAAGGUUAACCGAAUAGGGGAGCCGGAGGGAAACC
RNAcentral lists this ribosomal RNA (644 nucleotides) under Salmonella enterica. RNAcentral's name for it is "partial 23S ribosomal RNA". It matches the Rfam family "Bacterial large subunit ribosomal RNA", at positions 1 to 678 of the family's 2925-position model. Lineage: Bacteria; Pseudomonadati; Pseudomonadota; Gammaproteobacteria; Enterobacterales; Enterobacteriaceae. The record is from RNAcentral. RNAcentral also lists the same sequence under 1 other name.